UACAGAGGUCUCAAGCGUUGUUCGGAUUCAUUGGGCGUAAAGGGUGCGUAGGUGGCGCUGUAAGUCAGGUGUGAAAUCUCGGGGCUCAACCCCGAAACUGCACUUGAUACUGCGGUGCUCGAGUACUGGAGAGGAGAUUGGAAUUUACGGUGUAGCAGUGAAAUGCGUAGAUAUCGUAAGGAAGACCAGUGGCGAAGGCGAAUCUCUGGACAGUUACUGACACUGAGAAGCGAAAGCAUGGGGAGCGAACAGG
RNAcentral lists this ribosomal RNA (253 nucleotides) under uncultured bacterium. RNAcentral's name for it is "partial 16S ribosomal RNA". It matches the Rfam family "Bacterial small subunit ribosomal RNA", at positions 524 to 776 of the family's 1533-position model. The record is from RNAcentral.